UUGCCUUAAACUAAUGAGUAAGGAAAACAAGGUGAGCGGUGGAAACUGCUCACAGCGCCUACUAAAUAGAGCGCAGCGAUUUUUGGAGGUGUGAUAGGCUGGCCGAGCGUUGAUACUGCCUACUUUGCAGAACUCGCUCGAGCGGGCCUCCCAC
Cryptomeria japonica (Japanese cedar) is the source of this 154-nucleotide small nuclear RNA. RefSeq annotates it as U12 minor spliceosomal RNA. The record is from RefSeq and is a predicted model, not a curated record. The transcript has a single exon. Lineage: Eukaryota; Viridiplantae; Streptophyta; Pinopsida; Cupressales; Cupressaceae.